GUGCUGUAUAAAUUAUGGCAGUAUUUGCAUCAUGAUUUCCCAAUUUAUAUUUUGUUUGGUCUUCUAUCUUGCUUCCAUCUUCAUUAAGUUUUAUCACUGUAUGUUAGCAAAUAAAAUCAUAGAAAAUAACUGAAUAUAAGGUUGUUGUACAUGCUGAGAUCGAUUGUUCAUGUGAUUAAUUUUGUCGUCCAACUGACAUAUGUGUCAUUCAUUAUGCAGGAAUGCAAUCUGAAAUGCUCAUGUUGCUCUUGCAUCUGGCCAGAUGAUAAACUGAAUGGGGAAGUUACUCCAUCUCUCAUUUAAGAGCUACUGGAGAAUAAGGAGAUAGAUAAAGAAGAUGAACAUUAAAGCUUUUAGAAAUCCAGAGACACAUAAGCAAUGGCUCUUGGGUAAUGUUACUAGAGAAAGCAAAGAAGCAAUUCCGUCCUGCAAACAGGGAGGACUAGUGAUAAACUGGUUAUAAUAGAGAAUCAUAAGGAAUGGGAAAAGCUCUCUUCAGUGAGCCAGGUUAAUACUGCAUAUGACAGUAUGACUCCUGUUUCAGGGUUUGAAUCAUUUAGCGAGGUAAAUGCAUUACAUGUAACAUGAUAUUGUCGGAGCUCUCCUUUAUACCCGUGCUUGUUUCCGUGUG
Long non-coding RNA from Papaver somniferum (opium poppy), 631 nucleotides. RefSeq lists it as uncharacterized. NCBI's taxonomy places the organism in Eukaryota, Viridiplantae, Streptophyta, Magnoliopsida, Ranunculales, Papaveraceae. The record is from RefSeq and is a predicted model, not a curated record. The transcript is spliced from 3 exons.